UGUAAGCGUAUACCAAAGUUGUUGCAGUUAAAACGCUCGUAGUCGGAAUUUGGCAGUUCCGGAUGUGUGCACGUCGUGUGCGCACUUCGCGGGGAUUGCUUUUGUGGUCUUGCGUAGGAUGAGGCACUUUUAUUAGUGAACGUCCUCACGCAACCACUUUUUACUGUGAGAAAAUCAGAGUGCUCAAAGCAGGCAUUUGCCGUGAAUGUAUUAGCAUGGAAUAAUAGAAUAGGACUUGGUUCUAUUUUGUUGGUUUGUUGGGACUGAGUAAUGAUUAAGAGGGACAGUUGGGGACAUUUGUAUUUCGGUGCUAGAGGUGAAAUUCUUAGAUUACCGAAAGACAAACUGCUGCGAAAGCGUCUGCCAAGGAUGUUUUCAUUGA
Molecule: ribosomal RNA, 382 nt
Filed under: uncultured eukaryote
Lineage: Eukaryota
Description: partial 18S ribosomal RNA
Rfam family: Eukaryotic small subunit ribosomal RNA
Source: RNAcentral